Molecule: ribosomal RNA, 492 nt
Filed under: uncultured bacterium
Lineage: Bacteria
Description: partial 16S ribosomal RNA
Rfam family: Bacterial small subunit ribosomal RNA
Source: RNAcentral
AGUGAACGCUGGCGGUAGGCCUAACACAUGCAAGUCGAACGGCAGCACAGUAAGAGCUUGCUCUUACGGGUGGCGAGUGGCGGACGGGUGAGGAAUACAUCGGAAUCUACUUUUUCGUGGGGGAUAACGUAGGGAAACUUACGCUAAUACCGCAUACGACCUACGGGUGAAAGCAGGGGAUCUUCGGACCUUGCGCGAUUGAAUGAACCGAUGUCGGAUUAGCUAGUUGGCGGGGUAAAGGCCCACCAAGGCGACGAUCCGUAGCUGGUCUGAGAGGAUGAUCAGCCACACUGGAACUGAGACACGGUCCAGACUCCUACGGGAGGCAGCAGUGGGGAAUAUUGGACAAUGGGCGCAAGCCUGAUCCAGCCAUACCGCGUGGGUGAAGAAGGCCUUCGGGUUGUAAAGCCCCUUUGUUGGGAAAGAAAAGCAGCAGGUUAAUACCCCGCUGUUCUGACGGUACCCAAAGAAUAAGCACCGGCUAUCUUCGUG